Long non-coding RNA from Lutra lutra (Eurasian river otter), 194 nucleotides. RefSeq lists it as uncharacterized. The transcript is spliced from 2 exons. NCBI's taxonomy places the organism in Eukaryota, Metazoa, Chordata, Mammalia, Carnivora, Mustelidae. The record is from RefSeq and is a predicted model, not a curated record.
AACGUCUUGUCUCGAAGGACUAACAGAGUAACAAUGUCUCCAACAUAAUACCUUUGCAAGAAGCCAACUGCAAAUCUCAGGAGAGAAGUUGCAAACCUGAGAAGACUGAUUCAUGUAUACAUGUCCUGGAGGUUGCCCCCAAACUGCUCUUCAUAUUUAUCGAAUUAUAAAACAUCUUUAAGAAGCGACAGAAA